ACUUGCUCCGCCAAACUGACGCUACCUUUGACUUCACUUCUGAAUUAAAUUGUAUAAAGCUGGUUAAAGUACACCGCGAAAACAGAUUGAAAGGUAAUAAGUAAUGGAGGCAUUUAGUGGUUAUUCUCAACAAAGACAUUCAUUUACGAAAGAUUGACGAUUAUGAGGACAAUUCAUCUGUGGCCAAAGAACGAAACAAGGCGGAGUCGGGAAGGAGACCACGAGGAAGGCAGAUGGGUGCUGGAAGCACUGCUGGUCGAUCACCGAGGGUGGUCCCAGGUUCGUGGGUCAUGGAGGUCAGAGAAGAUCGAAGAGUGGACGGAAGACUCGAUGGUGCACAACGAUGUGCACUAAUUGACUGAACCCUGAUAAAUUCUGGUGCAGUGAAAACCUUUCUUACAGUGGUGUCACAGCUGUGUAGUCUCAGACAACAACAUAAGCUGUACACAAGUUAAACCAGACACUGAAGGGAAAAAAAGGCUGUGCAAAAUAAGAAAUUUGCAGAAAAUCAAAAGACAAUCAGAGACAACUGGAUGGUUUAUGGAACACAAUCAACAAUGAGGAAUUGUGGAGUUUUUCGUCAGUCCAUACUCUCAAUCUUCAUACAACAUAAUGCCUGGAAAUGGUUUGAAUGUCAAAGCCACCAUAUCAAUUGAAAUAAAUGAAAUGGAUAUGUAAUUUCAAAUGUUGAAUUGCCCCACCCCUCAUUCUCCCUGAUUCUGCUUGCAUUAACAUUAACAGUAUAGCACAGUAUGCUGUGCCAAUCCUUUAUCCUGUUCUAAGAUCAAUAUAAUGCUUCCAAUGCACGUUCUCCUCAAUUUUUCUAUCAUCCAUGUGCUUAUCUUAAAUGGCCCUAAUGUAUCUGCCUCCACCACCACCCCUGGCAGUGCUUUCCAGCGCCUCCCACUCGGUAUAAAAAAACUACCUCUACAUUUUCCUCCAAACACCAUAAAGUUAUGUUCCCUUGUAUUCACCAUUUCCACCCUGGGAAAAAGUCUCUGGUUAUCCACUCUGUCAUCAUUUUGUAUGCUUCCAACAAGUCACCUCUUAUCCUCCUUCUCUCCAAAGAGAAAGCUCUAGCUCACUUAACCUAUCCUCUCUAAUCCAGGCAGCAUCCUGGUAAAUCUCCUCUGCACCCUCUCUAAAGCUUCUACAUCCUUCCUAUAAUGAGGUGACCAGAACUGAACACAAUACUCCAAACGUGGUAUAACCAGAGUUUUAUUGAGCUACACAUUACCUCAAGGCUCUUGAAAUGAACCCCCCCAAUAAUGAAGUCCAACACAGCAUUCACCUUCUUAACAACCCUAUCAAAAUACUUGGCAACGUUGAAGGAUCUGUGGAUAUGGACCCCAAGAUCUCUCUGUUCCUCCACACUGUUAAGAGUCCUGCCAUUAGCCCUGCACUCUGCCUUCAUGUUCCACCUUCUAAAGUGAAUCACUUCACACUUUUUCAGAUUGAACUCUAUCUCUGGGCUACUUCUCAGCCCAGUUCUGCAUCCCAUCAAUAUCCUGUUGUAACCUUCUACAUUACCCACAAUUCCAGCAACCUUCGUGUCUUCUUAUGAACCCUCCCUCCACUUCCUCAUCAAAGUCAUUGAUGAGAAUCACAAAGAGCCAGUUAGCAUACUGCUAUUACAGCACCAGUCACAGAGGUUCAGCUCCACUGCUAUCUAUACGGAGUCUGUACAUUCUUCCCGCGACACAGUUGGUUUCUUCUUGGUGCUCUAGUUUCCUCCCAUGUCCCAAAGGCAUUCAGGUUAGCAGGUUAAUUGGUCACAUUGGUAUAACUGGGGCAGUGAGCUCGUUGGUCCGGAAAAGCCUGAUGUCAUCUCUUAAGAAAAGCAGGACAGAUCCCUGCAGAACCCCUCGUCACCAAGGUCCAGGUAGAGCUCACUCCAUCUACAUCCACCCUCGACCUUUUAUGGGUAGCAAGCCAAUUCUGAAUGCAAGAACAGUGGCUAAGCUUCCCUGGAUCCCGUGCCUCCUGACUUCCUGAAUGAGUCUACCCGGUCACCCUCUUUCUCCAUUCAUGCCACCAUUCUUGUGUUUUCUCUGGUUGUACUGUCUGUGAUCUUUACUCUCUCAGUGUGUCACCUCACUGUGUAAAUGUUCCAAGAUUCAAGAUUGUUUAACGUGACUUGCAGACUAACCGAAAGGAAAGGUAAAUAUAAAUACUUAAGAUAGCUAAUCUGGGUGGUUGUCCAUUGUGUCCAACAAUGACGGGAGCGUUUUUAAAGUGGAAAAGCCAUUACAUCGAGUUCUGAAGUCCAGGUCCAGUGGUUCAAACAAGCGUCACAAACUGGGAUCUUCCUUGGUUGCAGAGGAUGACCAUGAUGUCUCCUGGGUCUUGUUAUGCCCUUCGCUCUACAUGGAGAGUUGCAGAACUGUCUUCCUGGCCACUGGAUCUCACUAGAUCUCAUCUGCCCAGUCCACCAGAGCUGACUUUGCAGGCUGGGACAGGUAUGUCUCCAUCUCACCGGGGUAUGAGGUCACCAACUACCGACACCUGGUUUAGCCCAUCUGUCGAAGCGGUGUACCGAGGUGUGGCCGCUGUCAAAUGCAAUCAGCUACUUGGAACCACAGGUGAGAGCCAAGUGUCCAGUGGGGACCAAAGGUGAGUGAUCUGCCCCAGAAUGGACAGGACAAGCCCUUCCUGGACACCCCAUACUCUCUGAUAACAUAUACAUAGGUUGAUUUUAUGUCCAUAAAGUGACGCUAGAUGCAAUGUCUGUAUAG
Molecule: long non-coding RNA, 2735 nt
Organism: Hypanus sabinus (Atlantic stingray)
Lineage: Eukaryota; Metazoa; Chordata; Chondrichthyes; Myliobatiformes; Dasyatidae
Exons: 3
Source: RefSeq, a predicted model, not a curated record